UACGUAGGGUGCGAGCGUUAAUCGGAAUUACUGGGCGUAAAGUGUGCGUAGGCGGCCAAGCAAGUCGCGUGUGAAAGCCCCGGGCUUAACUUGGGAAUUGCGCUCGAAACUACUUUGCUGGAGUGUGGCAGAGGAAGGUGGAAUUCCACGUGUAGCGGUGAAAUGCGUAGAGAUGUGGAGGAACACCAAUGGCGAAGGCAGCCUUCUGGGCCAACACUGACGCUCAUGCACGAAAGCGUGGGGAGCAAACAGG
RNAcentral lists this ribosomal RNA (253 nucleotides) under uncultured bacterium. RNAcentral's name for it is "partial 16S ribosomal RNA". It matches the Rfam family "Bacterial small subunit ribosomal RNA", at positions 524 to 776 of the family's 1533-position model. The record is from RNAcentral.